UUUUUUUUUUCUUUAUUUUUUUAAAUCAUAAACACUUGCAUGGUAAGCUUACAAUAAAUUAGAGGAGAGAACAGAAGCUUCAACGGCAACGUGAGUGCUUGCAUGCUUUCUAAACUCCAUUUGAAGCAUGCCACCCAAACCAACUGCUAUACCUCAAAGCCAAACAAAAUAGCCAACAGCACAUUCAUGGGAGGAGAAGGUGGGCAUAUCUUGCAAAGGUAAAAGGCAUAUCAAUCCCUUAUAGUCUUGGAUCAGCCAAUGGCAUGAGGAACUGGCGGAUUCCUCUGCAAACCAAUGCAUCAUAGGUCUUCAAUUUGCUCUCACCAAUUCCUCUAAACCUACAAAACAAUCGAAAAUCAAAAGCCUUUUGUCACCCAAUCUAGAUGAGAGAGAGCUACACAAGCCCAGCUGAAGAAAACAAAACAAAACCAAGCAAGGAAAGCAAAUGGUAGGAGAA
RNAcentral lists this unclassified non-coding RNA (457 nucleotides) under Hevea brasiliensis (rubber tree). Lineage: Eukaryota; Viridiplantae; Streptophyta; Magnoliopsida; Malpighiales; Euphorbiaceae. The record is from RNAcentral.